RNAcentral lists this ribosomal RNA (253 nucleotides) under uncultured bacterium. Its description in RNAcentral is "partial 16S ribosomal RNA". It matches the Rfam family "Bacterial small subunit ribosomal RNA", at positions 524 to 776 of the family's 1533-position model. The record is from RNAcentral.
UACGUAGGGGGCUAGCGUUGUCCGGAAUCAUUGGGCGUAAAGAGCGCGCAGGCGGUCGAUCAAGUCGAGUGUGAAAGCCCCCGGCUCAACUGGGGAGGGUCAUUCGAUACUGAUCGACUCGAAGGCAGGAGAGGGUAGUGGAAUUCCCGGUGUAGUGGUGAAAUGCGUAGAUAUCGGGAGGAACACCAGUGGCGAAGGCGACUACCUGGCCUGUUCUUGACGCUGAGGCGCGAAAGCUAGGGGAGCAAACGGG